Molecule: small RNA, 715 nt
Filed under: Pongo abelii (Sumatran orangutan)
Lineage: Eukaryota; Metazoa; Chordata; Mammalia; Primates; Hominidae
Description: retained intron
Source: RNAcentral
ACCGGGGGGAGAGGCUUCUCGGAGCAGCAGUAUACAUCACAGAGCUGUCUAGCCCAGGUCUGUGGGCCGAGGCCCCAAAAUGCCAGGACCCAAACGCCACAGCAAUAAUCUUUAUCCCCCUUCCAGAACAGCCCCUGCCACCCCCAUCCCAGCGCUUUUCUUUCCAGUCAGGGACCUGAUCUCUGGCUUUUGCCUGGGGUUGACCCGUUUCCGCCACUAAUCAGCUGAAUGACCCUGGGACAAGUCCCUUAAACUCUCUGGAUCUCAUUGCAUCUGUAAAGUCUGAGAGAGUGACAAAGUGUCCUUUCUAGCCCUGACCCUAUGCCUCAUCCGGUACUUUCUCCAUAGGUGCCCAACGCUCUGGGAGAGCCCCAGGUGCCCUCCAAGCAGGCCACCUCCUGCUGUUUCUCAUCCUUGGUAUCCUUUCUCUGCUCCUUUUGGUGACUGGAGCCUUUGGCUUUCACCUUUGGAGAAGACAGUGGCGACCAAGAAGAUUUUCUGCCUUAGAGCAAGGGAUUCACCCUCCGCAGGCUCAGAGCAAGAUAGAGGAGCUGGAGCAAGAACCGGAGCUGGAGCCGGAGCCGGAACCAGAGCCCGAGCUGGGGCCGGAGCCCGAGCUGGGGCCCCAGCCCGAGCCGGAACAGCUCUGACCUGGAGCUGAGGCAGCCAGCAGAUCUCAGCAGCCCAGUCCAAAUAAACUCCCUGUCAGCAGCAA